Molecule: non-coding RNA, 30 nt
Filed under: Rattus norvegicus (Norway rat)
Lineage: Eukaryota; Metazoa; Chordata; Mammalia; Rodentia; Muridae
Source: RNAcentral
AGUGCCUUGCAGGAGGCAAGUAGUUCCUGU